This 458-nucleotide ribosomal RNA is filed under the name uncultured bacterium. Its description in RNAcentral is "bacterial SSU rRNA". It matches the Rfam family "Bacterial small subunit ribosomal RNA", at positions 340 to 786 of the family's 1533-position model. The record is from RNAcentral.
UACGGAAGGCAGCAGUGGGGAAUAUUGCACAAUGGGCGCAAGCCUGAUGCAGCCAUGCCGCGUGUAUGAAAAAGGCCUUCGGGUUGUAAAGUACUUUCAGUCGUGAGGAAGGUGUUAAGGUUAAUAACCUUAGCAAUUGACGUUAGCGACAGAAGAAGCACCGGCUAACUCCGUGCCAGCAGCCGCGGUAAUACGGAGGGUGCGAGCGUUAAUCGGAAUUACUGGGCGUAAAGGGCACGCAGGCGGUUAAUUAAGUUGGAUGUGAAAUCCCCGGGCUUAACCUGGGAAUGGCAUUCAAGACUGGUUAGCUAGAGUCUUGUAGAGGGGGUUAGAAUUCCAUGUGUAGCGGUGAAAUGCGUAGAGAUGUGGAGGAAUACCGGUGGCGAAAGGCGGCCCCUGGGACAAAGGACUGACGCUCAUGUGCGAAAGCGUGGGGAGCGAAACAGGGAUUAGAUACC